AACGAACGCUGGCGGCAGGCUUAACACAUGCAAGUCGAGCGCCCCGCAAGGGGAGCGGCCGACGGGUGAGUAACGCGUGGGAACGUACCUUUUGGUUCGGAACAACUCCGGGAAACUGGAGCUAAUACCGGAUAAGCCCUAACGGGGAAAGAUUUAUCGCCGAAAGAUCGGCCCGCGUCUGAUUAGCUAGUUGGUGAGGUAACGGCUCACCAAGGCGACGAUCAGUAGCUGGUCUGAGAGGAUGAUCAGCCACACUGGGACUGAGACACGCCCCAGACUCCUACGGGAGGCAGCAGUGGGGAAUAUUGGACAAUGGGCGCAAGCCUGAUCCAGCCAUGCCGCGUGAGUGAUGAAGGCCUUAGGGUUGUAAAGCUCUUUUGUCCGGGAAGAUAAUGACUGUACCGGAAGAAUAAGCCCCGGCUAACUUCGUG
RNAcentral lists this ribosomal RNA (431 nucleotides) under uncultured bacterium. RNAcentral's name for it is "partial 16S ribosomal RNA". It matches the Rfam family "Bacterial small subunit ribosomal RNA", at positions 29 to 507 of the family's 1533-position model. The record is from RNAcentral.